UACGGGGGGGGCAAGCGUUGUUCGGAAUUACUGGGCGUAAAGGGCUCGUAGGUGGCCAACUAAGUCAGACGUGAAAUCCCUCAGCUUAACUGGGGAACUGCGUCUGAUACUGGAUGGCUUGAGUUCGGGAGAGGGAUGCGGAAUUCCAGGUGUAGCGGUGAAAUGCGUAGAUAUCUGGAGGAACACCGGUGGCGAAGGCGGCAUCCUGGACCGACACUGACACUGAGGAGCGAAAGCUAGGGGAGCAAACAGG
Molecule: ribosomal RNA, 253 nt
Filed under: uncultured bacterium
Lineage: Bacteria
Description: partial 16S ribosomal RNA
Rfam family: Bacterial small subunit ribosomal RNA
Source: RNAcentral